GUAGUCGUGGCCGAGUGGUUAAGGCGACGGACUAGAAAUCCACUGGGGUCUCCCCGCACAGGUUCGAAUCCUGCCGACUACG
This 82-nucleotide transfer RNA is filed under the name Macaca fascicularis (crab-eating macaque). It matches the Rfam family "tRNA". Rfam says of the family: Transfer RNA (tRNA) molecules are approximately 80 nucleotides in length. Their secondary structure includes four short double-helical elements and three loops (D, anti-codon, and T loops). RNAcentral also lists the same sequence under 1 other name. Lineage: Eukaryota; Metazoa; Chordata; Mammalia; Primates; Cercopithecidae. The record is from Rfam by way of RNAcentral.